AAGUUCCAUAAGCUAUUCUGCUCAUGUGAUAUCCGAAAGAAUAAAGUCAGUAGCUAGAUCACCAGGAAAACAGAGUAAUAUAUUCUCCAUGACAUAUCAAAUCUAAAAAAUUCCAGUGGACAAGAACCUACCUAGCAAACAUUGAGCAAUUUGAUUUGCAAAAAAUAACUGCUCCAAAUACAUUAGCAAUUUUUACAGAAUUACGUCAUUUUAACUGUAUGAUGAACAUCAUACUAUCCUCUUUCACAAACUGAGUCCAAUGAGCAAAACUACUUGACAACUUCAUUACACAAUAAAUCCUAGAAAGAAAAUCCUUUGCUUAUAUGUCAGGAAUGCAGUUUGCCAGCAUCCUAGGUAACUGCAAGACGAUGGCCUCCAUUCAUGACAUCUUGACGUUCCAUGCUAUAUUAGAUAGAUUUUGCACAUAUGAUUCAACAAUAAAGUAUUCAAGAUUUCCUUUUGUUCUUGCUCAUCCAUCAAUGAAUGAAAAUCAUAAGUGUUUGCCAAUAACAACACAUGAACCUCUAAUAUACAUUUGUGAUUGACAUUGAAUUGCCAUUUAGCAGAUUCAAAAUAUAAAAUUUACAUUUUUAACAGUACAAAUAGUCAAGUAAAAAAACAAUUGCACAUAAAUCUUAAAUAAUGUUAACAACCAGCUAUGAGAUAUGUACAAUUCCAUUUAAACAAAAUUUACAUCCCUAAUGCUUAGAAAAGACAUACAACAAAAG
RNAcentral lists this unclassified non-coding RNA (728 nucleotides) under Hevea brasiliensis (rubber tree). Lineage: Eukaryota; Viridiplantae; Streptophyta; Magnoliopsida; Malpighiales; Euphorbiaceae. The record is from RNAcentral.